Molecule: ribosomal RNA, 2896 nt
Filed under: human gut metagenome
Description: bacterial LSU rRNA
Rfam family: Bacterial large subunit ribosomal RNA
Source: RNAcentral
GAAAGUAAGAAAGGGCGUAUGGCGGAUGCCUAGGCUCACGGAGGCGAUGAAGGACGUGAUAAGCUGCGAUAAGCUUCGGGUAGGUGCAAAUAACCCUUGAUCCGAAGAUUUCCGAAUGGGACAACCUAGCCGUCUGAAGGACGGUUACUCUUACCAAUGUAAGAGAGCUAACGCAGGGAACUGAAACAUCUUAGUACCUGCAGGAAGAGAAAAUAAAUGAAUGAUUCCCCCAGUAGUGGCGAGCGAACGGGGAACAGCCCAAACCAGUGGCGUCGCAAGGCGUGGCUGGGGUUGUAGGACCGCGACAUUGUAUUGAAAUGGUGAGUGGAAGUAUCUGGAAAGUUACAUCACAGAAGGUGAUAAUCCUGUACACGAAGCCAGAUUAGGCAUAGCGGUAUCCUGAGUAACGCGGGACACGAGGAAUCCUGCGCGAAUCUGCCGGGACCAUCCGGUAAGGCUAAAUACUCCCGUGAGACCGAUAGCGAACGAGUACUGUGAAGGAAAGGUGAAAAGAACCCCGAGCAGGGGAGUGAAAUAGUUCCUGAAACCAUACGCCUACAAGCGGUCGGAGCAUCGUAAGAUGUGACGGCGUGCCUUUUGCAUAAUGAUCCUACGAGUUACCGUCACUGGCGAGGUUGAGUGUCACGAGACACGUAGCCGCAGUGAAAGCGAGCCUGAAUAGGGCGCACAGUCAGUGGGGGUAGACGCGAAACCAAGUGAUCUACACUUGGCCAGGAUGAAGUCCCGGUAACACGGGAUGGAGGUCCGCACCAAUAAGCGUUGAAAAGCUUCUGGAUGAGCCGAGUGUAGGAGUGAAAGGCCAAUCAAACUUGGAGAUAGCUCGUACUCCCCGAAAGGCAUUUAGGUGCCGCGUCGGAUGGUCACCGUGAGAGGUAGAGCGACCGAUAGGACAAGAGGGCUUCACCGCCUAUCGAGUCCUGACGAACUCCGAAUGCUCACGGUCUGCAGUCCGGCAGUAAGGGGGCGGGUGCUAAGGUCCGUCCCCGAGAGGAGAAGAAUCCAGACCGCCGUCUAAGGUCCCGGAGUUCUGCCUGAGUUAGUCUAACGAAGUCUGGUCCCUAUGACAGCUAGGAUGUUGGCUUGGAAGCAGCCAUUCAUUCAAAGAGUGCGUAACAGCUCACUAGUCGAGGGUCCGGGCAUGGAUAAUAAUCGGGUAUAAGGCAGACACCGAAGGCGCGGGAUAGCAAUUUUAAAAGUAUCGGUAGGGGAGCAUACUCACAGCGUCGAAUGGUGUACGUAAGUUAUCCUGGAGCGGUGAGUAAAGCAAAUGUAGGAAUAAGUAACGAUAAGGAGGGUUAGAUUCCCUCCCGCUGUAAGACCAAGGUUUCCCGGGCAAUGCCAAUCAGCCCGGGGUCAGUCGGGUCCUAAGUCUAAGCCGAACGGCGAUGGCGAUGGCAGAGACGGUUAAUAUUCCGUCACUGCCGCAUGGGGCGACGUGGAGACGGAGCAGUGAAACCACCGCGGGGCGACGGAAGUCCCCGUUGAAGAGUGUAGGCGUUGAGGAUGGCAGGCAAAUCCACCAUCCGAGCUGAACUUGACAGUACGGAGUCCUCCUCGGAGGAAUCUGAUAGUGUGGGUAAUCAUACUCCCGAGAAAAUCCGCUAAGCUUAACCCAUGCGGCACCCGUACCGCAAACGGACACACGUGGUCGGGUAGAACAUACUAAGGCGUUGAGAGAUUCAUGGUUAAGGAACUAGGCAAAUUGACCCUGUAACUUCGGGAUAAAGGGUCCUCGUGAUGAGCGAGGCGCAGAGAAUAGGUCCAGGCAACUGUUUAACAAAAACACAGGGCUGUGCAAACUCGAAAGAUGACGUAUACAGCCUGACACCUGCCCGGUGCCGGAAGGUUAAGAGGAGAUGUCACUCGCAAGAGGAAGCAUUGAAUUGAAGCCCCGGUAAACGGCGGCCGUAACUAUAACGGUCCUAAGGUAGCGAAAUUCCUUGUCGGGUAAGUUCCGACCUGCACGAAUGGUGUAAUGAUCCGGACGCUGUCUCAACCGUGAGCUCAGUGAAAUUGUAGUAUCGGUGAAGAUGCCGAUUACCCGCGAUGGGACGAAAAGACCCCGUGAACCUUUACUACAGCUUAGCAUUGACCUUGGUCAUCCGAUGUGUAGGAUAGGCCGGAGGCUUUGAAGCGGGAGCGCCAGCUUUCGUGGAGCCAUCCUUGAAAUACGGCCCUUUGGCUGUCUGAGGUCUAACGCGCAGAUGCGCGGACACUGCUUGGUGGGUAGUUUGACUGGGGUGGUCGCCUCCAAAAGCGUAACGGAGGCUUCCAAAGGUGCCCUCGGGUCGAUUGGUAACCGACCUCAAAGAGUGCAAUGGCAUAAGGGCGCUUGACUGGGAGGCAGACAUGCCGAGCAGGCAGGAAACUGGGGCAUAGUGAUCCGGCGGAUGUGUAUGGAAACUCCGUCGCUCAAAGGAUAAAAGGUACUCCGGGGAUAACAGGCUGAUCCCCCCCAAGAGCUCAUAUCGACGGGGUGGUUUGGCACCUCGAUGUCGGCUCGUCACAUCCUGGGGCUGGAGAAGGUCCCAAGGGUUGGGCUGUUCGCCCAUUAAAGUGGCACGCGAGCUGGGUUCAGAACGUCGUGAGACAGUUCGGUCUCUAUCUAUCGUGGGCGUGGGAGUUUUGAGUGGUGCCGUCACUAGUACGAGAGGACCGUGAUGGACAGACCUCCGGUUUACCAGUUGUGCCGCCAGGCGCACCGCUGGGUAUCUGAGUCUGGAUUGGAUAAGCGCUGAAAGCAUCUAAGUGCGAAGCCAGCCGCAAGAUGAGAACUCCAUUGAGGGUCGUCAAAGACGAUGACGUUGAUAGGAUGCAGGUGUAAAGACAGCGAUGUCAAAGCCGAGCAUUACUAAUUGCCCGAACACUUUCUUUC